RNAcentral lists this ribosomal RNA (499 nucleotides) under uncultured bacterium. RNAcentral's name for it is "partial 16S ribosomal RNA". It matches the Rfam family "Bacterial small subunit ribosomal RNA", at positions 899 to 1397 of the family's 1533-position model. The record is from RNAcentral.
ACUCAAAUGAAUUGACGGGAGCCCGCACAAGCGGUGGAUUAUGUGGUUUAAUUCGAAGCAACGCGCAGAACCUUACCUAGGUUUGACAUCCUUUGACAAUGCCAGAGAUGGUACUUUCGUAGCAAUACGACAAAGAGACAGGUGCUGCAUGGCUGUCGUCAGCUCGUGUGGUGGCAUGUCGGGUUAAGUCCCUCAACGAGCGCAACCCCUGUGUUUAGUUGCCAGCAUUAAGUUGGGCACUCUAGACAGACUGCCGUGGUUAACACGGAGGAAGGCGGGGAUGACGUCAAGUCCUCAUGGCCCUUACACCUAGGGCGACACACGUAAUACAAUGGCUAGUACAGAGGGAUGCGAAUGAGCGAUCAGGAGCAAAUCUCAAAAAGCUAGUCUCAGUUCGGAUUGGAGUCUGCAACUCGACUCCAUGAAGGCGGAAUCGCUAGUAAUCGCGGAUCAGCACGCCGCGGUGAAUACGUUCCCGGGCUUUGUACACACCGCCCGU